RNAcentral lists this long non-coding RNA (1253 nucleotides) under Gadus morhua (Atlantic cod). RNAcentral describes it as "lncRNA (ENSGMOG00000023459.1)". The record is from RNAcentral. Lineage: Eukaryota; Metazoa; Chordata; Actinopteri; Gadiformes; Gadidae.
UAGCUCCCGAAUCAAACUAUGAAACGCCCCGUACUGCUGCCGUCCCCGGUUUAUGUCAUGCACCCACAAACGGGAAGGUUCAUCGUUAUCCUCGUCGUUGUCAUCUAACGCCAAAACAAGGGCUAAUUUUCUCAUCCUCGACAUUGUAACUGACACUGUAGCGUAGUCAAACCACUUUGAUGCGGUAACUGAUUUGCAACGUUGGCUCUAGAACAUUCUGCUCGAGAAUAAACUUGACAAAACCACCCUGUCAGUUUUUUAGUUGGUAAAAAACCACCCGGGUCAGGUGUUUUUCAAUAUAAAAAAACUGCCUGUAUGAACACCCCCUAAGACUGUAUCACACAGGGACUCUUCAUCUUCUUCUGAAGCAGACCUUCCACGGAGGCGAAGCUCUGGACGAACCAUCAGCGCUGAUUAGGGACUUAGACAUAUUCGAUCUCUCACGCUUUAUGACUCUGUAUAACCGUUGCCACUUUACUUAAUAAAUCCAAGGUCCUCGUGCCGACAGACUUUAUUACCUCUCCGUCUCAUUUCAUCUGGUCCAGUAACUAGACAGACCGUUUUUCCCCUCACAUCAUCAAGUCCCAACUAAUCAGUUUCCACCGCAUCUGCUCUCUACCUCAUCACGUAGAGGAGGCCACCAGGACCCUUUUCAAGGCCCUUAGACCUCGCGGCUAUUCCAAACGUUUUCUUCUGACUAUUAAAGGGGAAGUGACCGCCCUCUUCCAGCCAGGCCGGCCCGUUCUCCCUGAAAAAAAGAACACAGAACAAAAGUUAAUUCCAUUAAUUACUACAUUUUCGCGACAGCUAGGCCCCCUCAAGCAAGCUAUAAAGCAACAUUUUAAUUCUGCCAUACCUCAAACCGCCCCACUCGCUUCUUUUAAAAUACUAAUGUCCUACCGCCGUAAUAAAAACCUACAGGACAUUUUAGUCCAUACAACUCCCCACUCUCCCUUACCCCACUCUUCUCACCCUCUCUAACUCUAAACCCUUCAACGUCCUAUCACCCCUCUGCCCUCUGGGUUUGAGAUGUGAAUAGGAUAUCAGAGAUGCCCAGAAAGGCAGGGGAGAAUGUAGGGACAGACAUCCCACACCUCCUUACAUCUGACUCCCCACCCUUUCCCCCCACCACUCUUCUCACUCUCUCUAAACCUAAACCCUUCAACAUUUAAAAUUUAAAAAGUUUGUUUUUAAUCCUAAACCUAACCUUUAGCUUUAUUCCCUAAACCCACCCCUAAAACCAUUUUGUAUUU